RNAcentral lists this ribosomal RNA (460 nucleotides) under uncultured bacterium. RNAcentral describes it as "partial 16S ribosomal RNA". It matches the Rfam family "Bacterial small subunit ribosomal RNA", at positions 338 to 795 of the family's 1533-position model. The record is from RNAcentral.
CCUACGGGAGGCAGCAGUGAGGAAUAUUGGUCAAUGGACGAGAGUCUGAACCAGCCAAGUAGCGUGAAGGAUGACUGCCCUAUGGGUUGUAAACUUCUUUUAUAAAGGAAUAAAACGAGGCACGUGUGCCUUUUUGCAUGUACUUUAUGAAUAAGGAUCGGCUAACUCCGUGCCAGCAGCCGCGGUAAUACGGAGGAUCCGAGCGUUAUCCGGAUUUAUUGGGUUGAAAGGGAGCGUAGAUGGGUUGUUAAGUCAGUUGUGAAAGUUUGCGGCUCAACCGUAAAAUUGCAAUUGAUACUGGCAGUCGUGAGUACAGUUGAGGUAGGCGGAAUUCGUGGUGUAGCGGUGAAAUGCUUAGAUAUCACGAAGAACCCCGAUUGCGAAGGCAGCUUACUAAACUGUGACUGACAUUGAUGCUCGAAAGUGUGGGUAUCAAACAGGAUUAGAUACCCUUGUAGUC